GAUUGCCAUCUAUGGCCUCUGCAGUCUCUGGCAUCGUCACGCUUCUUCUUGGACAAAGACCCUCGGGACUAAGUACCAGCGGUGCCCUACGGAAUCCGGUGGUGAAGAGCUGGAAAAGCUCAGUGCAGAAGCUGUGCCACAGGACGGAGGUGUGUAAGAAGAGAAGCUGUUUGGAGUAUGCAUGCACAGCCUCGAGUCCAUAGCUUCCCAUCCCAGGAUCUAACUCCCUUAUCCCCAAAUGAACCUUGUAUCUCCGAGGAUAAUGUCUUAGUUAUCACUUUGUUCCAUUCAGGUUAGUCUCCCACCUGUUUCCUUAUCUAUAUGGUUUCUGGUUACUCAUAUGGAAAGAACAAAAUGGCGCUUUUCUGUAAUAGCAUUUGGUAAAUUCUCUUAUUAAGAAAUAAAAGAAAGAAAGAAACUU
This 421-nucleotide long non-coding RNA is filed under the name Rattus norvegicus (Norway rat). RNAcentral describes it as "long non-coding RNA NONRATT007145". Lineage: Eukaryota; Metazoa; Chordata; Mammalia; Rodentia; Muridae. The record is from RNAcentral.